Non-coding RNA from Caenorhabditis elegans, 115 nucleotides. Lineage: Eukaryota; Metazoa; Nematoda; Chromadorea; Rhabditida; Rhabditidae. The record is from Ensembl.
UUAUGCGGCCCAUUGUUUUAUUUGAAUAAAACAUAUAGACCGGUCACUCGGUCCUCAUUUUCAAACGCGCCAGACGUUAGUUGUUGCUUUAAGAGCCCCCGCGACGGCCGACUUA